Molecule: ribosomal RNA, 358 nt
Filed under: uncultured bacterium
Lineage: Bacteria
Description: bacterial SSU rRNA
Rfam family: Bacterial small subunit ribosomal RNA
Source: RNAcentral
ACUCCUACGGGAGGCAGCAGUGGGGAAUAUUGCACAAUGGGGGAAACCCUGAUGCAGCCAUGCCGCGUGUGUGAAGAAGGCCUUCGGGUUGUAAAGCACUUUCAGUAGGGAGGAAGGUAGUGUAGUUAACACCUGCAUUAUUUGUACGUUACCUACAGAAGAAGCACCGGCUAACUCCGUGCCAGCAGCCGCGGUAAUACGGAGGGUGCGAGCGUUAAUCGGAAUUACUGGGCGUAAAGCGCAUGCAGGCGGCCUGUUAAGUCAGAUGUGAAAGCCCGGGGUCUUAACCGUCGGAAUUGCAUUUGAAACUGGCAGGCUAGAGUCUUGUAGAGGGGUUAGAAUUUCAGGUGUAGCGGUG